UACGGAGGGUGCAAGCGUUAAUCGGAAUUACUGGGCGUAAAGCGCGCGUAGGUGGCUGUUCAAGCCAGAUGUGAAAUCCCCGGGCUUAACCUGGGAACUGCAUUUGGAACUGGGCAGCUAGAGUACAGCAGAGGAGUGUGGAAUUUCAGGUGUAGCGGUGAAAUGCGUAGAGAUCUGAAGGAACAUCAGUGGCGAAGGCGACACUCUGGGCUGAUACUGACACUGAGGUGCGAAAGCGUGGGUAGCAAAC
RNAcentral lists this ribosomal RNA (250 nucleotides) under uncultured bacterium. RNAcentral's name for it is "partial 16S ribosomal RNA". It matches the Rfam family "Bacterial small subunit ribosomal RNA", at positions 524 to 773 of the family's 1533-position model. The record is from RNAcentral.